This 428-nucleotide ribosomal RNA is filed under the name uncultured bacterium. Its description in RNAcentral is "partial 16S ribosomal RNA". It matches the Rfam family "Bacterial small subunit ribosomal RNA", at positions 354 to 796 of the family's 1533-position model. The record is from RNAcentral.
GUGGGGAAUAUUGGGCAAUGGGGGAAACCCUGACCCAGCAACGCCGCGUGAGGGAAGAAGGUUUUCGGAUUGUAAACCUCUGUCCUUGGUGACGAAGGAAGUGACGGUAACCAAGGAGGAAGCCACGGCUAACUACGUGCCAGCAGCCGCGGUAAUACGUAGGUGGCAAGCGUUGUCCGGAAUUACUGGGCGUAAAGGGUGCGUAGGUGGCCUUUUAAGUUGGAUGUGAAAUACCCGGGCUUAACUUGGGGGGUGCAUCUAAUACUGGGGGGCUAGAGUGCAGGAGAGGGAAGCGGAAUUCCUAGUGUAGCGGUGAAAUGCGUAGAUAUUAGGAGGAACACCAGUGGCGAAGGCGGCUUUCUGGACUGUAACUGACACUGAGGCACGAAAGCGUGGGGAGCAAACAGGAUUAGAUACCCUAGUAGUCC